Molecule: ribosomal RNA, 681 nt
Filed under: uncultured fungus
Lineage: Eukaryota; Fungi
Description: eukaryotic LSU rRNA
Rfam family: 5.8S ribosomal RNA (bases 266-416)
Source: RNAcentral
CUUGGUCAUUUAGAGGAAGUAAAAGUCGAACAAGGUUUCCGUAGGUGAACCUGCGGAAGGAUCAUUAGUGAAUCUUCAAAGUCGGCUCGUCGGAUUGUGCCGGUGGAGACACAUGUGCACGUCUUGGAGUCGCAAACCCACACACCUGUGCAUCUAUGACUCUGAGUGCCGCUUUCAUGGCCUUGAUUGGCCUGGCGCUCGAGUACUUUUCACACACUCUCGAAGUAAUGGAACGUCUUGUCGUGCGUAAUGUACAAAUCGAAACAACUUUCACAACGGAUCUCUUGGCUCUCGCAUCGAUGAAGAACGCAGCGAAAUGCGAAAGUAAUGUGAAUUGCAGAAUUCAGUGAAUCAUCGAAUCUUUGAACGCACUUGCACCCUUUGGUAUUCCGAAGGGUACACCCGUUUGAGUGUCAUUGUAUCUCACUACGAUCGACUUUAUGUCUUUCUGUAUGUGGACUUGGAUGUUCCGUGGAUUUCUAUGGCUCGUCCGAAAUGCUUCAGUGUACCCCGCAAAGGGCGUAUUCGGUGUGAUACAUCUUCACCGGAGUUGAUCCUUCACGGGUCCGUCUGUAAUGUGUGGCUCUAUGCUUCAAACCGUCUUGACAGGACAAUCUUGACAAUUCGACCUCAAAUCGGGUGGGACUACCCGCCGAACUUAAGCAAUCAAUAAGCGGAGGA